AUUAAAGAAGACUUCUGUUCUGCCCAAACCAUUUAAACAGACCUGAAUCUACGAAGCAUCUAUGGAGUCGGCAGCUAUGCAGAGUCCCAGGAGCCGGCGUCAUCUGGCACAGGCCAGCAGCAGGGUUUUAACUGCAGUGUAGACAUACCCUUAUAGUACCCUGCACUCCUCUGCAGCUGCAUUGGGAUCCAAAGUACAGAGAUGCCCUGAGGAAUUUGGUCUUCAACCACAGAGAUCAUUGUACACUUAUCAGAACAAAGUAUUAUUGGCACAAGAAACUUGAGAGAAGACAGACUUACCAACUCUGUCUUUAACGCCAAGCCAGCAGUAGAAAACAAACUUUGGCUUUGAUAAUUAAAGUUUAUUAUCGCUGCUGAAAUAAAAGCUUUGUUGUAUAAGAAAUAGAUAAAUAA
This is a long non-coding RNA of Caretta caretta (loggerhead turtle), 413 nucleotides long. RefSeq lists it as uncharacterized. The record is from RefSeq and is a predicted model, not a curated record. Lineage: Eukaryota; Metazoa; Chordata; Testudines; Cheloniidae.